RNAcentral lists this unclassified non-coding RNA (968 nucleotides) under uncultured cyanobacterium. RNAcentral's name for it is "partial contains 16S ribosomal RNA, 16S-23S ribosomal RNA intergenic spacer, and 23S ribosomal RNA". The stretch from base 1 to 112 matches the Rfam family "Bacterial small subunit ribosomal RNA", at positions 1423 to 1533 of the family's 1533-position model. The record is from RNAcentral. Lineage: Bacteria; Bacillati; Cyanobacteriota.
GAAGUCGUUACUCCAACCCUUGUGGAGGAGGACGUCGAAGGUGGGGCUGAUGACUGGGGUGAAGUCGUAACAAGGUAUCCGUACCGGAAGGUGCGGCUGGAUCACCUCCUAACAGGGAGACAAACAACGAUUCUGAUGUCUGAGUUAUUUAUUCUUAGGCCGAAAUCCUGUCACCUUAGGUCGAUCGGUACCUCAGCGUUGAAGCAACAGAGUUAACAGAGAUGUUGAUGCGUGUUGUGGAGAUGAUCAGUUCCUAAACUUUGUCUAGGUCACACCCCACAAGGGUUGAGUUUUCCUGGGCCAUUAGCUCAGGUGGUUAGAGCGCACCCCUGAUAAGGGUGAGGUCCCUGGUUCAAGUCCAGGAUGGCCCAUUCGGUGUUGGGGGUUUAGCUCAGUUGGUAGAGCGCCUGCUUUGCAAGCAGGAUGUCAGGAGUUCGAGUCUCCUAACCUCCACUGACCGAACUCGAUCUCCGGUUUUGCAUUGAAAGAUGGAGAGCCACUCGAUUGUGAUGUGUGAUUUAGAUGUGUCCGCUGGAUGACCCCAGCUUCCUGUCAUUCCAAAUUGAAGUAAAGGAUUUUACUUGAACGAAUUUGGUUGAUAAGAUGCUGGGCUCGAGUUCAGUGAUCAAGCAAUUGGUCAUCGGAUUUGAAGUCUGGCAGAACCUUGACAACUGCAUAGGUAAGUCUGGAAAAACAAAGCAUCUUACAGAUGCAUUGUUUUGAAUCUGAUCUUCUGAAAAGGAGAUUAGAUCUAGAACAAUGAAAAUUCUUUUGAGCAAGAGCCGAGACUCUUGAGCGUUCUUUGAUUCGUGUCGAGCGAAUCAGAGUUUGAUCUUGUUUUAGGAAUCAGCGUAAGUUGAUGAUUAAAACUUGAGAAUCUGCUUUCAACGGCGGUAAGCGUUCAGGAGAUUAAUUGGUCAAGCUACAAAGGGCUCACGGCGGAUACCUUGGCACACAGAGGCGAUGAA